RNAcentral lists this non-coding RNA (34 nucleotides) under Paenibacillus sp. P22. Lineage: Bacteria; Bacillati; Bacillota; Bacilli; Caryophanales; Paenibacillaceae. The record is from RNAcentral.
CUCUGGGCUCGCUUGAAGCUCAGGGCAGAAAGAG